AUUGAACGCUGGCGGCAUGCCUUACACAUGCAAGUCGAACGGCAGCACGGGAGCAAUCAUGGUGGCGAGUGGCGAACGGGUGAGUAAUGUAUCGGAACGUACCAUUGAGUGGGGGAUCACGUAGCGAAAGUUACGCUAAUACCGCAUAUACCCUGAGGGGGAAAGCAGGGGAUCGCCAGACCUUGUGCUCUUUGAGCGGCCGAUAUCAGAUUAGCUAGUUGGUGAGGUAAAGGCUCACCAAGGCGACGAUCUGUAGCGGGUCUGAGAGGAUGAUCCGCCACACUGGAACUGAGACACGGUCCAGACUCCUACGGGAGGCAGCAGUGGGGGAUUUUGGACAAUGGGGGCAACCCUGAUCCAGCCAUGCCGCGUGAGUGAAGAAGGCCUUCGGGUUGUAAAGCUCUUUCGGCCGGGAGGAAAUCGCAUCAGUUAAUACCUGGUGUGGAUGACAGUACCGGAAUAAGAAGCACCGGCUAACUACGUGCCAGCAGCCGCCGUAA
RNAcentral lists this ribosomal RNA (500 nucleotides) under uncultured bacterium. RNAcentral describes it as "partial 16S ribosomal RNA". It matches the Rfam family "Bacterial small subunit ribosomal RNA", at positions 30 to 523 of the family's 1533-position model. The record is from RNAcentral.